Molecule: long non-coding RNA, 16991 nt
Filed under: Lathyrus oleraceus (garden pea)
Lineage: Eukaryota; Viridiplantae; Streptophyta; Magnoliopsida; Fabales; Fabaceae
Description: Pisum sativum (pea) long non-coding RNA (PSAT_LNC030232)
Source: RNAcentral
CUGGUUUGUCUUCAGAAGUUACUUGAACUUAUCCAAAACACUGGUUGCCAAAAUUAACAUCUAAUGAACUUCACUUCAGAAGCUUGGUUGAACUCUUUUGAAGAAGCUUCAGAGUCUUGUUCUCUUUGAAAGAGCUUUCAGAGCAUGGUUACGAAUUCUUCUUAAAGUGCUUCAGAGCCUUAUUAUAAACCUUAAGACUUGGUUGAAUCAAUUCUGAUUAACAUGGAAUUCAUAAUUCCUCAGAACUUGAUGUCUGGUUAUGAUUCCUCAUAGAAAUAUUUAUCAAACAGUAAAGUUAAAGCUUCAAACUCAGAGAGUCGACCAUUUCUUCAGAAACUGGUAACUUAAGUUCUGAUCUAAAAAACUUCAAGAGCUUAUGAUGUUCUUGACUAUUCCCUAAAAGACAAUUAACAAACUAUUCUUCGAAGUAGUUGCUAGCAGAAACAUUAAAAAAUGUUUGGGUUCUUAAUCACGAAUAUAGGUAUAUCAAAAUCAAUUACGUUUCUCCCCCAUUACCAUCGACCAAAAAGACAUAGACAAAAAUAAUGUAAAGAGACAAACAUGGUUUCAUUGAAUUAUGCCAGAAGGAGGAAAUAGUACAAUCAUGUUAAAAAGACAAAAACACAAAAACACUUAAACAAAAUAAAAACAUAAAAGUGCAGAGACUAUUUUGAAAACUAAGGGUUUUGUGGCAGAGGAGGAGGCAAAACAUUUGGGUAGUCAUUAGGUAGAUUGAAGGGAUCCAUCAAAGGAUCAAUAUUAUCCUUGAGGCAACUUUCCAUGUAGUACGCCAAGACUUCCAGAGGAUCAACCUUGGUGAAGAUAGGAUAGUUUUCAGAUGGGAUUCUACUACCAGAUAUUUCUUCCCUGGAGAUAGGAGUGUUCUUAUCGGCGACUGAAUGAGGAGGAGAUUGUGGUUGCUAUUAUUGUUGUUGUUGAUCAGCCAUUGAAGAAUGUUGAAGAUGAAGAAGAAAAAUUACGGAGAGGGUGUUUGAAGGUUUGAAGCAGAGAAACGUGUGGGAGUAAUUGUGAUCUUAGUGUGAAAAUGUGAGUGAAGUGGGUCUAUAUAAGGAAAAAAUUUGCAAUGAUUAAAAGCUAACAAAUAUGCAGACAUAUGAGGAAGCUUAAGAGAUUUUAACCUAAUUCCGAGAAAUGUAAAGCCCAAUGUAUCACGCCAUCAUCAUGCAUUCUCAGAAAGUGGGGCAACUGUCACACUAAGAACCACAUGAUACUACAUGAAAUGAUAAUCAUUUAAUGCAACAACUGUUUAAAAUCAAGAAGAAAAAUCAAUAAGAUUGCUUUUGAUCAGAGCCUUUCUGAUUCAUGAAACUUCCUCACUUUAGAAAGCUCAUGUCUCAUAAACAACAAAUAAAUUCUCAGAACCUAAUCAAGAGUUCUGGAAGCUUAACAUUAUGAAAUUCAUCUUUUUCAUUCUGAACAAGAGUCAAUAAAUAAGUAUUUCCAGAAUGAAAACGAAUCUAUCUUCAGCAACAAAUUUUGUAAAGAUAUCAGCCCAUUAAUGGUAUGUAUCAAUAAAAUUUAAGUGAAAAAUACUCUUCUGAACAUAGUCACGUGAAAAAUUAUGUUUAAUUUCAAUAUGUUUAGCCCUAGAAUGCAAGAUAGAAAUCUUGGAUAAAAAAAUAGCAAAAGUAUUAUCACAUAGAAUAGGAAUGUUACUCUUAAAUAUCUUAUAAUCUUCCAGUUGACUCUUCAUCCAGAGUAUCUGAGUGUUGCAUCUAAAAGCUGUGAUAUACUCAACUUCGGCUUUUGAAAGCGCAAUUGUUGACUACCUUUUGCUAGACCACGAGAUCAGAUUGUCUCCUAGAAACUGACAACUUCCAAAAGUACUUUUCCUUUCUAUUUUGUCUCCAGCAUAAUCAACAUCACAAUAGCCUAUUAAUUUGUAUUCACUCGAUUUUCUAUAAAACAAACCAAGGUUAGUGGUACCGCUCAGAUACCUAAAGAUUCUCUUAACAAUAGUUAAGUGAGUUUCCCUAGGACCUGAUUGGAAGCAAUCACACAAAUAGACACUUAAUAAAAUAUUAGGUCUAGAAGCGGUUAAAUAAAUGAGAGAACCUAUCAUACCUCUGAAUAUCUUCUGAUUUACCUUACUGCUUACCUCUUCCUUCUCUAAAAUUCAUGUAGGAUGCAUUGUAGUCUUCACUGGCUUGCAUUCUGACAAGUUAAACUUUUUUAGAAGUUCCCUUGCUUACUUACUUUGGUGGAUGUACGUUCCUUCUGAACGUUGAUCAAUUUGAAUUUCUAGAAAGAACUUGAGUUCUCCCAUCAGACUCAUUUCAAAUUCUGCCUAAAUUGACUUAGCAAAAUCCUUGCACAACGAAGUAUUAGCAAAACCAAAAAUAAUAUCAUCAACACAAAUAUGCACAACUAGAAUAUCAUUCUUAAAGGUUUUGCAAAAAGGAUUUGUGUCUACUUUCCCCCUGGUAAAAUCAUUUUCCAAAAGGAAGUUACUUAAUCUAUCAUAUAAAGCUAUGUGAGCUUGUUUCAGACCAUAUAACGAUUUUUUCAAUUUGAAAACAAAAUCAGGGUUUUGAGAACUUUCAAAACUAGGAGGUUGGUACACAUACACUUCUUCUGAAAUGUAUCCAUUUAAGAAUGCACUCUUAACAUCCAUCUGAUAAAGAAUGAUGUUAUGAUUUACUACAAAUGAAAUUAAAAGACGAAUAGACUCUAACCUGGAAACUGGAGCAAGGUUUAUGUAUAGUCUAUACCUUCUUGGUGAUUAUAACCUUGUGCUACCAGUCGAGCCUUGUUUCUGACGACUUCUCCAUUCUCAUUGAGAUUUUUUCUAAAAACCCAUAUGGUUCCAAUGACAUGGAAACCCUUUGGUUUCUGAACAAGAUCCCAGACGUCGUUCCUGGUGAACUGAUUUAGUUCCUCUUGCAUAGCCAUAAUCCAUUCAUUAUCCAGAAGAGCUUCAUCAAUAGAUGUAGACUCUAUCAGACCCAUAAGAGUUUCUUCAGAAGGUUUGAAUGAAGAUCGAGUUCUGAAUGGUGCAUCUUUAUCUCUUCUGAUGAGUUGGACCAACAAUGGCUUUUGGUUGAGUCGCUUCUGAGUCUUUUGCUUCAGUGUCCUUAGCUUUGCCUUCUGAGUUUUUAUAUCUGCAAAUUUUUGAGAAAUUAAUCUUCAUAUCUGCAAAAUUCUCAACUAGCUUUGACUUUUCAGGGUCAAGCUUAUCAUUAAAUCUAACAUGAAUUGAUUCUUCAAUAACUUGUGUCUCAGUGUUAAAGAAUAUGUAUCCUUUUAAGUGGUAAGAAUAUCCUAAUAAUAAGCACUUUUGAGCCUUAGAAUCAAACUGGCCAAGAUUCUCUUUAGAGUUCAACAUAAAAUACUCACAGCCAAAAAGAAUGGAAGUAAGAAAUGUUGGGCUUUUUGUUCUUCCACAAUUCAUAUGGAGUCUUACCCAUAAUAGGUAUAGUAGAAAUCAUGUUCUGAGUAUAACAAGUUAUGUUAAUUUCUUCUGCCAAAAAAUGCUUAGCCAUAUCAGUCUCUUGGAUCAUGGUGUAAGACAUUUCUUGCAAAGUCCUAUUCUUCCUUUUUACAACCCCAUUUUUUGUGGAGUUCUAGGACAGGAGAAAUCAUGGGAAAUUCCAUUUACAUCAAAAAUAUUGUUAAAAUGUUUAUUUUCAAAUUCGCUACCAUGGUCACUUAUGACUCUGACUAUUUUACAAUCCAUCAUAUUUUCACUUAUGAGCAGAAAGUAGAGAACACAAAAUGUGACUCAUCCUUGUGUUUCAAGAACUUUACACAUGUCCAACAACUAUAGUCAUCAACGAUGACCAAUCCAUACUUCUUACCACUGAUAGAGGCAAUUUUCACUGGCCUAAACAAAUCAAUAUGCAUAAGUUCUAACGGUCUAGAGGUAGAAAGAAUAGUUUUCACUUUGAAAGAUGGUUUAAAAAACUUGCCUUUCUGACAUGCUUCAUAAAGAGCAUUUGAAGCAAACUUCAGUUUGGGUAAACCUUUGACUAAUCCAAGCUUAUUUAGCUGAGAAAUCCUUCUCAUUGCUAACAUGGCCUAAACAUCUAAUCCAUAUCCAUUGCUCCUUAUUAAUAGACAUUCAUUAUUUUACAUUUUGAUCCUCAAGAUCAGAAAGUCUGAUUUUAUAAAUGUUGUUCUUCCUCUUUCUGUUAAAAAGGAUUAUACCAUCUUUCUGACUAAUAACCUUAAAUGACUUUUGAUUAAAAAUGAUAUCAUAACCAUUUUCACUAAGUUGACUAAUAGACAAUAAGUUAUGCAUCAAACUAUCGACCAAAAGGACAUUAGUAAUCGAAGGGAGAUUACCAUUACCAAUAGUUCCAGAGCCAAUGAUCUUCCCUUUCUGGUUUCCUCCGAAACCAACGAAGCCUUCAGGCUUAAGUUCCAAAUCUUGGAACAUAUACCUUCUUCCAGUCAUAUGUCGCGAGCAUCCAUUGUCCAGGUACCAUGAUUGGUGUUUCAAUUGAGAUGUUAUGGAUGUAUGCAACAUAGAUGAUCUUAUCCUUAGGUACCCAUUUUUUGGGCCCUCUUUUGUUAGUUUUCCUAGAGUUUCAUACACCCUUGUGUCUUUAUGCAACAUGAUAAUCAAGUGAAAUUUGUGCAUGAUACUUAGGUUUCAGAAUUGAGUUCUUAUCCUUUAUAAGUUUCCGUGUCUGUGCAGAAAAAUAAAGCUCUGUGCCAGCAGGCGCGAAAUGCUCAUAGAGAGGUUUCAGUUUACCUUCUGACUUUCAUCGGGUUUUGUAGUUUCUAUACAACCUAAACCUUUUUUUCCAUUUCUGCUAACUCCAUAGAUCAAAGAAGCUAUUUUUCUUCUAUCUACGCUUUUAGCCAGAAAGUAGUAGAAUGCUUUAUUAUAUCUAAUGGUGCAAUCAGUACCAAAAGCUUCUAAGACUAUUUCUUCUUCUAGCUUUGAGAUUUUACUUUUCAACACAGAGUUGUUACUUUCUAAAGAAAAUAUUUGUUCAUUUAUGGAAGAAAUAUAUUUCUUAAGCUCACUACGAGUUUCAGAAGCAACUACUUGGACUUGUUUAUGGUCUUUGUACCUACUCUGAAGACUUUGGUACUUUUCCAGUAUUUCAGAGAGACACGACUCUAAAUCAGAACGAGAUAAUCCAUAAAAUACCUCUUCAGAAUUGGAGUCUAAUUCAGAUUUUGACAAUAUCAUAUCUUCUGGUUCUUCAGAACCUUUUGGAUUAGUUGUAGUUUCCAUCAAUCCAACAUUGGCCUGUUCUUCAUCAAAAUCUUCUUCUUCGGAUUCUGAGUCAUCCCAUGUAGCCAUCAUCCCUUUCUUGCCUUUAGAAAACUUCUUCUUAGGCCUUUUGUCAGUUUUCAACUUAGGACACUCAUUCUUGUAGUGGCCUGACUCCUUGCACUCAAAGAAAAUAACCUUUUUACCAGAACCUUGCUUAUUUUGUCCAGACAAAGAAUCAUAAUGACCAACAAUCCUCCUAGAUCCUCUAAACUUUCCUUGACCAUUAUGCAUAUGCCUCCAGAGUCUGUUGACCCUCUUGGAAAUCAAAUACAACUCAUCAUCAUCUUCUGAGUCUGAAGCUAGCGAAAAUAUACCCGAACGCAUCGCAUGCUAGAACAUACAACAGAGUCUCCAUCGAACUUUAUUUAUUCCCUAAGGAAAGGAAAAAUAUCGAUAAAACCCGGGGAAAGACAAAUAUGGGUAAGGAAGUUGGUUAUGCAAGGGGAAGAUAUUAGCACCCCUAACAUCCAUGGUAUUCCAUGGGAACUGCUUUGAUCUUUCUUUGCUCGAAUGGGUGUUCUAUCUAGGGAUUACUCGCAAAAGAAUAAGGGGAAAGGAAAGAAUAGAUAAAGUGCUCGGUGGGGAUUAAGACCCUUAUGCCUACAUAUCCUUAUAGUGAACUAAGGAAUUCAAAGCUCCGUAGUUCAUGGAACUAGUGGUGGGAGAUGAAAAGAAGUUGUGAUAAUGAAUAUGGUAUGAACCAAAGGAUUAUAUUGUUUGAACUCCAAAAGGGGAUGAAAUCUAAACCCAAGAGUAAAACUGGCGUUGACCAAUAUGUGGACUAGCCGGAAGCGUCUGCCACUAUAUAUGGUAUAUCCAAAAAUAAAGAGGAUUACGUGUUUGUAUACGAUACAAACAUCUCUUGGUUCAAAAGCAGACAUAAGAUGAAGUUUAAAGAGAUAACAAGUAUAUCACAUGGAGUGAACGGAGGUAGGAAUAUGAAUGCACCAUGGAGAUGAUUGGAAUGAAAUGAAUAAAUAUGCUCGAUGGAGGAUUCGAACCCUCGUGCCUAUGUAUUCUCAUCAUGCAAUGAGAAAGUCAGAGCAUUCGUAGUUCGUAGAACCAUGAUAACAAAGAGAGAGAUUGAUAGUGAUGAAAAGUAUAACUUAUAUCAUUAGGAUGGUAACAUGGGAACAUACAAACGAGAGUGAACUUUGAACCGAAGAGUAAACAGACGUCUUAGCCAAAAAAGAAGGAAUUAAAUGUUUGGAUACGGGCCAAAGAACUCUUGAUUCACAAGGUGGACUACCGUUAUAUACCACUUGCUGGGGAACAAUCAAUUUGAAAUCAAAGAAGAAUAAUACCUUGAAUCCAUGAAGGAAUAGACUCUGAACCGAAGAGUAAAUAGGCGUCUUAUCCAAAAAGAAAGAAUUAAGUGUUUAGGUACGAGCCAAACAACUCUUAGUUCACAAGGUGGAUUUCCGCUAUAUCGUCCUAAAAGGGUGUACAUGGAGUCCAUGAGAAGUAUCUUUCGAUCUCAAAAGAUGGUAUUGAUUGAUGAAUGAAGAAAUGAUGAAUAAAUAGGGUAGCUCGCGAAGAAUCUGAAUUCUCCUGCCUACGUAUUCUCACCGUGCAAUGAGAAAGUCAGAGCUUUCGUAGUUCAGCCUACUACAGCUGGAGCAAAGAAAGAUAUUUGAUAGGAUUUCCAAGAGGCAAAGCAAAUUGCUUAACAAGCAAGAGUGUGGCAUUAACCAAUGGUGGUAAUCAACCACAGGGUAUUAAUGAGAUAUGAUUGUCCUACACACGAGAGGAUUUAUAAGGCAAGGGAGCUUCGUCUAUGCACGAGAGGUCUUAUAAGACAAACAAAUGAUUAAGGGGGUUUGCCAAGGCACCAGAGGACUGAUAAGGCAAACAAUGAUUGACUAGAGUGGACCUAAGCAUAAAAGGCAUGAUAAGGCUCACAGUGAUUGAAUAGGGGUUGCCAAAGUACAAGAGGACUGAUAAGGAAAACAAUUAUUGACUAGAGUGGGCCUAAGCACAAGAGGUCUGAUAAGGCUCACAAUGAUUGAAUAGGGUUUGCCAAAGCACAAGAGGACUGGUAAGGCAAAUAAUGAUUGAGUUGAUUGAUUAGGAUUCAAAGACUUGAUCACAAAAGGUAUCUGAAUAUCAAGGAGAGUGCGAUUAGUGAUCCAAAGAAGAAAGAAUGAUUACUGGUCCACUGAGGAGAUAAUGAUUGAUGUGCAAUGGUUGUUCACUAUUGAAAAAGAUAAGAUUGAUUAGUGCUUGAUUGAAGAAGACUUGUCAAUUGUAUGAUUCAAAUUGCACUAAAGUCUAUGAACAAAAGCAAAUACCUUGAGCACCUGGGUCAUUCUUCCCAUACCCAAGGAUACCCUAAACAAGGAUAGGAAUUCUCCACUCUCAUCAUUCUUUAUUACUUAAGGCUCAUGGCGUACAACUUGAAUCAGAAUUGACCCGUUACUGAUAGGAGAUUCUAAUGAUUGAUCUUGAUGAUGUAAUUCUACUUGUUAUAGAAGAAGACUUGAUAGUCAUUUUAUUUGAAUUAUGCUAAUGUCCAUGAACAAAGGCGAAUAACGUGAGAAAAUGGCUCAUUCGUCCCAUACCUAAGGAUACCCUAGACAAGGAUAAGAAUUCUCCACUCUCAUCAUUCUUUGUUUCUUAAGGCUUGUGCCAUACAAUCUGAAUUAUGAUUGACAAGUGUUGAUACCUUUGAUGUGCUUGAGAAGUAGUCCACUUUAUCAACUAUGCUUCAUUGGCAUUGACUUUAAAGUCUUGAUCUUGAAUUUGAACCUUGAGGUCUAGGGCUCUUAAGAUUCAGCAUGCCUAAUACAUCUUGAGCACAAUGGACUUUCCCUAUUGUAAGACCCCAAUUUUGACCCUAAGAUCCCUCAUGCUAUCUCAUCAUUUGCAUUGGCUUUGGGAUCACACCUUUGUAUCCUCCUUACCCCUCAUUCAUUGGGUUUGCAUUGGGAGAGAUCACCAAGUACAUUUAAUUGUAUCAUACUUUGUUUUUCAUUAUUUACUAAUCAAAAUACCAAAAAUAUGUCUAUGUAUGGCUUGUUUCUUUUGUAGAUAAUGUGUGCAUCCACCAAGGCCUCAUCAAGCUCACAAUUAGGGUUUGAGACCCUCAGUGUAAGGAGAUUAAUCAAGAGAUGGUUCACAUUGGUUCUAGACAUAAUAUAUGGAUCCCAAUUAUAUUCAUUUACCAUUUUGAUCAAGAAAUCAUCAAGAGUUUGAAGCUUGUUUACCUUGGAAGCCCUAAUUCAUCUGGGUAUCUUGUGUGACUUCCUUAACAAGUUUCUUCAACAUUUGAUCAAAUAUAUUAAGGUAUACUUAAUAAUACAUAAUCUUAUACAUAUAUUAUCCUCCAUGAGUCCAAAAGAUCAAUAUAACUUCAAUUUUUCAAGUUGGUUCAUGGUGGUAGACCAGAGAAAGUCAACUGGUCAAAACUGGGGUUCACUAGACCCUAUCUCCUACAAUUUUUGUCAUAUGAAAAUUAUUCCAAGAGAAACAUUACUCUUUAUGUAAUUACAAACAACUUUCAUGUUGACAUAAAGAGCUAGUUUUGCUUGAAAAGUCAUUUUUUAUGGUGAAAGAUUAUAGGUCAUUUUGUCUAUGCCCUAGUUAGGAGGUCAACUUCCAAGGACCAUAACUUGCUCAAUCUUUAUGAGAUUGAAAUUCUGGUAUCAGAUAUGAGAUGUCGAAGGUAAUGUCAUGACACUAAUAUCUGAACAACAAGUGAAAUAUGAACAGAAUAAAAACCAGGAAACAAUUGAAAAAUGACACAAGCAAUUGUUAACCCAGUUCGGUGCAAACACACCUACGUCUAGGGGCUACCAAGCCAGGAAGGAAAUCCACUAAACAGAAUUAGUUCAAAGACUCUCAGUAAACAACUUCAAGUUACAGUCUUUUCACCUAAUCUCUACCCGUGUGAUUUCUAUCUAAGAACUCUUAGACAUGAGACCCUACUCACCCCCCCCCUCAAUCAUAACAGUGAUACUAGAACAAAUACCAAAAAGAAAGAAGACACACUUUAAGGACACACACUUGAUCUUGCUUAAAAGCUUCAAUUAAGUAAACAAAUACACUCGUACUUCAAAUCUUAGAGUGGACAAAUUACAACUCAAAAACUCAGUCCAAUUCACACAUCAACAAGAUGGAUGAAUGGCUCACAAUUCACAAACGCACACAAGACUAAAACCCUAAUACUCACUCACUUCACCGUUUAUGUUUUCUAUUUAUAAAACAGGGUUUACAUAGUCUUUAAAUAGAAGCUUUCUAAAUGGGCCUGGGUAGCAUGAAACCCUAAUUCUAUUUAUUGCGUAUUCCCUAAGAAAUAGCAGCGAAUCAUUCCUUUUCGGGAAACAGAAUAUUCUGGCUUUAAAUAGAAUUACUCCUUGAAUAAUGCAUGCAAUCCCCACAUAAGCACACAAAGACUUGCAUGAAAAGCGCAACAAAAAAAUACAUAACAUUCAGACUGAAUGUUCUGUAUGCACAUGUCGUAACAUCGGGUCUGACAUCUUGAAUAAAUCCUGCACAACCAUAUCAAACAACCUGCAGAAAGCUGAUAUCACAUGUCAAGACUACAAGCGUGACAUCUUGUGAUAACACUAAGUUUUACCAAAUUGAUGCCAAUUCAUAGAACCAACAAACUCCCCUUUGGAAAAUUUUGGCUAAAACAAUAGAUCACACAUUCACAAGAAAUCAAUCAGAGCAUCAGUUCAGCAGCAGAAGAAAACAUACACCACAUCACUAAGCAAAAAAUAACAACUAGUAAACACACAAGCACUUGCACAUACAACACUAGCAAGAACCAACUAGCAAACAUCAGGACACACAAGUGCUUGUACUCUCCCUCAAGUCCAUGCAACUUCCCAGAAGACAACAGCUCCCCCUUAAGCCAGUCCACAACAAACAACAACCACACUGCUUCACACAAACAGAACACAUAGAAUUCUCCCCCUUUACCAAACAAAUAAACACCAAAAUUCUCCCCCUGUAUCAGAAAAGCAGAGCAAGAACAAUACUACAGAGCUAAGCUAAGAUACUCAGCUACAUCUACAACUAUUUCUCCCCCUUUUUAGCCAAAAGAGACCAAAGAGACAAAAUAAAUGUCUAUCUAGUCAUUAACAGAAAUACCAGAAGUUAAAGAGUUACAUCACCAAGUACAUACAUAGUUGUAAGAAUUCUGAGAAACAAAAAAAAACACAAAGAAAUCCACCAAAAAACCAAGAAAACCAUCAAAACAAGAGGGACCAAAGCCAACAGAACUACUUAGUAGGGCUUGAGUUUGUAGCCUCUUCAGCAGCACCAGAAGUAGAGUUGCCACUCGCAUCAUCAUUGUUAGCAGACCUCUCAAUAGAGGUGUGGGCUUCAGCUUCUUCUUCAUGGCUGACAUUAGCAUGUUCAACAUUUUCACCCUCAGCCUACUCCAAGCUUUCAAUCAAGGCUUCCAAAGAUUGUUUUCUAGUUGUGGCUACCCUAAUCCCUUCACCUAGCUCUUUGCAUGUCUCCUUAAGCUCAGCAAUUGCUCCAACUUUUGAGACUGGCCUCCUCAUGGAAGCUCUUUGCAUGUCUCCUUAAGCUCAGCAAUUGCUCCAACUUUUGAGACUGGCCUCCUCAUGGCAGAUGUCAUGACAAUAUCCUCGACAUGACUGCCUUCAAAGAGUUUGUAGUGCACAGACAGAGCUGGUUUUCUCCUACUAGGUAAAUAAUUUGAGCACAGAAUACCAGGAUGUUGAUUCAAGAUAAUUCCAUAAAUCAUAGAGGGAAAAGCAAUUGGCAGCUUAACUGCAUUAGUAGUUCCAUGCUUGAUGAUUUGAUCAAACAUAUAUCUACCAUAUUCCAAUUUCACUUUUUUCCCAACACAAAAAUAAACCUCCCAAGAGUAUUAGCAAUGGUGGAGAUAUGGUUGGUAGGGACCCAGUUAGCAGCUCCUAUUUUAUGCAGGAUAGCAUACUUGAUAGUCAACUUCCCAGCAGAAAGAUGCUUUUUAAAAGGCCAAACUUUCACCUGCUUAGCUGUAAUCUCCCUACAUACCUGAUUGUCUGUAACCUCUAAUUCUCCUGCACCCUCAUUAUUUCUGCCUAGAAAAUUAUUAAUAACAGUAGGAGAGAAUGUUAUACACUUACCCCUCACAUACACCUUGCAGAACUCCUUGUUGUUCUUAUCAGAAAUAUCCUCAAGAAUAUUAACAAUAAAUUCCUUGACUAAACCUUCGUAGCAUUGAGAUAACCCAACAACAGUCUUCAAAAGCCCAUCAGCUUGUAUCAGGUCCAUGACCUCCUUGACAUCAACAACAUCUUUUUCCAAUUCCCUUUCCACAACUACCCUUCUCUGCAUCACAAAUUUCCACUUAGCAGCUCCAUCCUCAAGAUGGAAGGAGAUGUUAUCCAAAUGAAUAACAGGUACUUUAAUAGGAGACUUAGUAACAGUAGUUUUCUUCGCAGGCGAGAUGUUAGUGACAUCUUCCUCAACAUCCUCUUCAGGCUCAAAACCUUCUCUGACCUUCCUCUUCUUUAUUUCAACCUUGCUCCAUGGUUUGGAGGGACCAAUAACAACAGUCUUGUUAGCUUUUCUAGCUGACAUAAGUUCAGCCACAGAUUUUCCUUUGUGAGUCUUCAUGCGUUUAGCCACACUUGGCUUUAUGUGAUGAAUCAAGCUUUCCUCUUGAUCAUCAGAGCUACCAUCCUCUAGAUCAAUCACAAUAUUUGCAUCAUCAUGCUUCUCAGAGUGGGAAGCAUUAGCCGUGUUAGAGGCCACAUAUUUCCCUUUGUCAGACACGGUUUGCCCUAGAGAGCACAACCCUUCAGUAGCCAAGGCCUUUUUAGAACUGGAGGAAUCACCACCCUUACCACUAGGUUGUUCAACCUCAGGAGGGGGAUACAUUUGAGCAAGGGGAGUAGAAACCCCCUUCACAGAGUGACCUUCAUUAAGAAUUCUAGUAACUAUGUCUCUUGUAACACGAUCAGUAUAGUGUGUUCCUUCCUUAUACUUAGUGACAUGAGUUGAACCAGACCGAAUAUUAGAGGGAUUACCUUGAUUGGAACAUGCAGAAGCGGAGGUAUUAAUGGAGAUGGGUUGGUUCAAAUCAAUGUCCGUGGCGGGAAUAACAGAGAGAAGAGCAACAUCCAGAAUCUCAUCAUCAGGGACGCCCAUGGGAGGAACACUAAAUUUUGGAGUAGACUUAGUAUUUUUAGAAGCAAAUGUAUCUUGAUGUUGUGACAUUUUGGAGUUUUUCUGGAAAAAGUAAGGUUGCCCUAGCAGAGGUUUGUGGAGAAGGAAAAGGAAGAUGGAAUAGUUGGAGUAGGUAAUGGGGUUAUGGGGUUAGGUGUGAAGAUAGAAUAGAUGGUAUUUCCAAUACAAGGUAAUGAUUUACCAUAAUGGGGGCACUUUUUUUUAGGAAAAUAGACUAUAAUUUGAGUACUUUUUCCACUCCAUAUUAAUUUCUACAAUUUUCAUAAAUGCAAAUCCCUAAUCUCCCUCUCAGGAAUUCAAAUUGAUUUGCAUCCAAGCCUUUGUCAAAAUAUCAGCUAACUGCAUCUCAGUAGCAACAUGCCAAGGCUACAAUCUUAUCCUCCACAAGUUCUCUAAUAAAAUGGUGACGGGAUAAUCAAUAUGUUUGGUCCUGCUGUGCUGAAUAGGGUUCUUUGAGAUGUUUAUAGCACUCAGGUUGUCAUAGUACAAUGUCAUGACAUCUUGUGUGACAUUGUAUUCAGUCAGCAUUUGUUUCAUCUACACCAGUUGAGAACAACUACUUCCAGCUGCUAUAUAUUCAGCUUCAGCAGUAGACAGAGAAACACAAUUUUGCUUCUUACUAAACCAUGAUAUUAGAUUGUUCCCCAAGAAGAAACAUCCUCCUGAUGUGCUUUUCUUAUCAUCAGCGCUUCCAGCCCAAUCAACAUCACAAUAGCCAGAUAACACAUAAUCAGGUCCAUGAGUGUAUAGCAUCCCAUAGUCACAAGUGCCAUUGACAUAUUUUAGGAUCCUUUUCACUUGGUUUAUAUGGCUCACCUUUGGUUCAUCUUGAUAUCUAGCACAUACACCUACAGCAAAAGCAAUGUCAGGUCUGCUUGCUGUAAGAUAUAGCAGACUCUCUAUCAUGCUUCUGUAGAGACUUUGAUCCACACUGACACCAUUUUCAUCUUUAGACAACUUCAGAUGAGUAGGAGCAAGUGUCCUCUUGUGGCUUGCAUUCUCCAUGCCAAACUUCUUAACUAUAUUCUUGACAUAUUUACUUUGAGAUAGAAAGAUAGAAUCUCCCAUCUGCUUGACUUGCAGGCCAAGAAAAAAAGUUAGUUCUCCGACAAGACUCAUCUCAAAUUCAGACUACAUUUGUUCAACAAAAUGUUGAACCAUCUUACUUGACAACCCACCAAACACAAUAUCAUCCACAUAGAUCUGAGCAAUCAUGAGCUUUCCUCCUUCAUCUUUGACAAAUAAAUUCUUAUCAAUGCCUCCCUUUCUGUAUCCAUUGUCAAUGAGAAACACUGUGAGUCUCUCAUACCAAGCUCUAGGAGCUUGUUUCAACCCAUAAAGAGCUUUCCUCAACUUAUACACAUGCUUUGGAAGAUUUGGAUCUGUGAAUCCCUUUGGUUGUUCAACAUAUACUUCCUCAUUCAAGUAGCCAUUUAAGAAGGCACUUUUCACAUCCAUUUGGAACAUUUUAAACCUUCAGAAUACAUGCCACUCCUAGCAAUAAUCUAAUGGGCUCCAGGCGAGCUACAAGUGCCAAUGUUUCUCAAAGUCAACUCCUUCAACUUGAGUGUAUCCUUGAGCUACUAACCUUGCUUUAUUCCUAGUAACCACACCUUUUUCAUCAGAUUUAUUCUUGUAUACCCACUUUGUUCCAAUAACAUUUAUUCUUUCAGGUCUUGGAACCAAAUCCCAUACUUCAUUUCUCUUGAAUUGGCCUAACUCUUCAUGCAUGGCAUUGAUCCAAAAUUCAUCAGUUAAAGCUUCUUUAACAUUCUUAGGCUCAAUCUUUGAUACAAAACAGGCAUGUCAGAUCACUUCCCUUGAUCUAGUGGAGACUCCUUUAUUUAGAUCUCCUAUAAUGAGAUCUUUAGGAUGCUCCUUCUGAAUUCUGAUAGAGGGUCCCUUGUUUACUUGAUCAGCUUCAGGUUCAACCUGGGUGGACUCACUCUCACUACUUUUAUCAGAAGGUUCAGCUGGGGCAUCAUUCAGAAAUGUUUCAACAUCGUCUGUGACACCAGUCUCUUGAUCAUCAACAACAACAUUGAUAGAUUCCAUCAUAACUUUAGUUUUGGAAUUAAAGACUCUAAAGGCUCUGUUGUUUGUUGAGUAGCCCAGAAAUAUUCCUUCAUCACUCUUGGGGUCCAUUUUCCUUCUUGUCAUACCCCAAUUUUGUCCAGACAUUUUUAAAUCUUACAUAAGUUUGAUUUCAUUUUCAAAUUGCAUCAUAUGCAUAUCAUGACAUGCAUUUCAUCAUGAAUAAUACCUAAAAUAUCAGUCGGAAUAAAUUAUUGAAAAUACGAAUAAAUCAGUUGAAUCAUUUCUCAUAAAACGUGCAAAAUCAGCGGGUAAAAAGUUUCAAAAUUAAAACUGCAGACGCCAGUAUUAUCAAUCUACGAUUCGCAUAGUUCAGCCUGGUGUGCUCAUUAUAUUUUUCAACGACUUUUUCAAUCGCAUUUUGAUCCGUCUGAGCCUGUUAACCGGUGAAGAAACACUGUAUUUUUUUAAUAUGUAUAUUUUGUGGUGAUCAUUUUAGUGCGUCCGAUUUAAUUUUUCGAGCAAAUUUUUUCCCGAUUUUUAUUCAUUUCUAGUCGUUUUAAUUUUAUUCUUUCGCCAAAAUGUUCAAAAUAAAUAAAAAGAAUUUUCCAUGCUUUUAUUUUAUUUUUACCACAUCUAUUUCCAAAGUCAUGAAUUUUAUUUGAUUUAAUUGGUUUAAAUUGUUUUAAAUCAAUUAAAUCAUUUAGAAGAGACAUUUUGACAAUUAAAUUAUUUGUGUGAUUCUUUGAUUCGAUCCCGAUCAUCGAUUCAAAUUUAUCAGUGGUCUGUGUCAAAUAAUCGAUGUGCAUUUUGUUAUCCAAUCGAAACUAUAAGUUAAUUAAUUUGAUAUUAUUAAAAGAAAUUAAAAAAGGCCGGAAAAAUAAAGAGUUUGUUUCUAUCCAUUCACAUGUGACACAUGCUCAUCACCUAGAAGGACCACUCCCAACGUAAAGGAGAUAUGCUCCCUGUCUCAUGAGCUGGCGAGGAAAGGAGGAUAAGGUUAGGAAAUAAUAUCUCCUUGUAGCCAAUAACGGAUAGCCACAUGUCCGAUUCUCUAAAAAAAGAAAAUAAAAAAGAAUCUAUCCAAUCAUUUUAGAGAUCCACGAAAUCCACUCAAAACUUCUCCACCUACUACUCUCUUCUCUCUCUCGGGACUCAAAAAAAUAAAAAAAUAAAACUCCACUUAAUAAAGGAUUUCCACUCAUAACAUCACUCGUUCACCUCGGGAAGGAUAACUACUCCAUCUCUCUGAAAAGAAAAAGAGAAAAAUUAAUAAACUUUUCGUCUCCUUCCUCAAAAAUCCACCGCCGACCUCUCCCUCCAUCGCCGUCCAAUCGGAGAACCACACAACGGUUUCCAAACCGCUUCCACUCACCGGCAAAACCAACCGUCACUCCUUUCUUCGCCGUCGACCAUACGGGCCCGUCACCAUCUCCGCCAUCUUCAUCAUCGAACGUCGAUGAGCACCAACAAGCGCCGUCACAAACCCGUCGCACUCCAUCACCCUUCUAAAUCCCUCCGUCCGCGACUCCAAAUAACCGCCGUCACAACAUCCACUUCUCCCGCAUCGGCAAACGAAACCACCCUAUCAACCUUGUCCGAUGCCCCACAAUCAGACUCUUUUCUUCUCUCUUCCAUAAAUCGUAGAUCUACCACCGAACAACGGCAUCAACCUUCACGGUUCCGCCACAACAACAAUAUAAAUAAUACCUCACAAAUUCCAACAUUCCAAGGCGGCAUCAUUUUUACAUCCAGAUCGAGCAUACCCACUAAAACCUCACGGCCAUCCUAAGAUAUCGCAAGCUUAGAACGAAUGAGGUUUACUGAUGCAUAAGCUUGGAAGGUUUUAAAAGCAAUUUAUUCAUUUUGCUGAGAUAUGACAACAUCAAAAAUUACAUGGCAAAAUGAUGGGUUUUCUGUCAACAUACGUCACCGCCUCCGAGUACAUGUUCGUUUCUUCUCUUUUGAGUUGUUUCACUCUACUUUUGAAUUGCCCUUUUACUUAUGAAAUAAACCUGUGUUGUAUGUGUGAUAGAAUUUUUUUAUUAAAGUUUAUUAUGUGUGAUAGAAUUUUUUUAUUAUUAAAGUUUAUGUAGUUUUACGGUUCAGAAAAGAUAUAAGAGGAAAAACUUCAUGGUUUAGUCUUUACGUCUUUAUCCAUGCCACUAUUUUUGAUUGAAUGCUCUUAGUUUUUGGUUAAGAAUAAAAGAGUGCAUGUGUUGUCUACUUUAGAAGAAAUCAAAUCUAUUCUUUUUUUAUUUCUUUUUCAUAUUUAUUAUGUAUGGGAUGUUAAGAUGGGUUUUAGUUUGGUCUCCUCUAAAUUAAGCCCAUUAAGCAUCUUUUCACCCCCUAUAGUUUGUAAUAUAUUUAUGUUAUUACUAUUUGAUUUUGAUUUCAUUUGUUUUAAAGUCGGAUUUUAAUCCCCGGAUUCGACAAACUUAUGUCGUUAUGCUGCCCAAGUUUCUAUACAGUGAUUGAGAAUUUUCACCGCGUUUCGGUCCUUACAUACGACAUUUCAACUCCGUUGUCGCUAUGUACAAACCGGUUCUUG